GGGGGUGUCAAGGUUUCGACGGGGCUGUUGAAGUAAGAGAAGCGGGUAGUGGAUUCUCGUUGGCCACUUUAAAAAACGAGAGAAAAAAAUAAGUGCUGACAAUAACAAGUUGGCUCUCGCAGCCUAAUUAAAGGCUGCCGUCCCGCGCGGGAGGACCACGGCCCGCGAUGGGGCGUCGACCAGUGGUGAACGUGACACGGCAAAGCUUUGAGCCGUGCAUGACAAAAUGAAGCUACUGAAGCUGUAAGCCUGUUCAUGGGCGUACAGCGGAGGGAAUGUUAAAACAUGAACUGCACCCGGAGAUGCUCUUGCGGAUACGGUUUCGGACAGGGGUUCGACUCCCCUCACCUCCACCA
Molecule: transfer-messenger RNA, 356 nt
Filed under: Clostridia
Lineage: Bacteria; Bacillati; Bacillota
Also listed under: 1 other name
Description: Thermoclostridium_A caenicola Standard tmRNA
Rfam family: transfer-messenger RNA
About the family: Bacterial tmRNA, also known as 10Sa RNA or SsrA, is named for its dual tRNA and mRNA-like properties. Its role is to liberate the mRNA from a stalled ribosome.
Source: RNAcentral